This 459-nucleotide ribosomal RNA is filed under the name uncultured bacterium. Its description in RNAcentral is "partial 16S ribosomal RNA". It matches the Rfam family "Bacterial small subunit ribosomal RNA", at positions 338 to 795 of the family's 1533-position model. The record is from RNAcentral.
CCUACGGGAGGCUGCAGUGAGGAAUAUUGGUCAAUGGCCGCAGGGCUGAACCAGCCAAGUCGCGUGAGGGAUGACGGUCCUAUGGAUUGUAAACCUCUUUUGUCAGGGAGCAAAGGGCGCCACGUGUGGCGCUUUGCGAGUACCUGAAGAAAACGCAUCGGCUAACUCCGGUCCAGCAGCCGCGGUAAUACGGAGGAUGCGAGCGUUAUCCGGAUUUAUUGGGUUUAAAGGGUGCGCAGGCGGAAUGUCAAGUCAGCGGUAAAAUUUCGGGGCUCAACCCCGUCGUGCCGUUGAAACUGGCGUUCUUGAGUGAGCGAGAAGUAUGCGGAAUGCGUGGUGUAGCGGUGAAAUGCAUAGAUAUCACGCAGAACUCCGAUUGCGAAGGCAGCAUACCGGCGCUCAACUGACGCUCAUGCACGAAAGCGUGGGUAUCGAACAGGAUUAGAUACCCGUGGAGUC